GACGAACGCUGGCGGCGUGCUUAACACAUGCAAGUCGAACGAAGAGCGAUGGAAGCUUGCUUCUAUCAAUCUUAGUGGCGAACGGGUGAGUAACGCGUAAUCAACCUGCCCUUCAGAGGGGGACAACAGUUGGAAACGACUGCUAAUACCGCAUACGAUCUAAUCUCGGCAUCGAGGAUAGAUGAAAGGUGGCCUCUACAUGUAAGCUAUCACUGAAGGAGGGGAUUGCGUCUGAUUAGCUAGUUGGAGGGGUAACGGCCCACCAAGGCGAUGAUCAGUAGCCGGUCUGAGAGGAUGAACGGCCACAUUGGGACUGAGACACGGCCCAGACUCCUACGGGAGGCAGCAGUGGGGAAUCUUCCGCAAUGGACGAAAGUCUGACGGAGCAACGCCGCGUGAGUGAUGACGG
Molecule: ribosomal RNA, 409 nt
Filed under: Veillonella parvula
Lineage: Bacteria; Bacillati; Bacillota; Negativicutes; Veillonellales; Veillonellaceae
Description: bacterial SSU rRNA
Rfam family: Bacterial small subunit ribosomal RNA
Source: RNAcentral